Molecule: ribosomal RNA, 397 nt
Filed under: uncultured bacterium
Lineage: Bacteria
Description: bacterial SSU rRNA
Rfam family: Bacterial small subunit ribosomal RNA
Source: RNAcentral
UCGGGAAUUUUGGGCAAUGGGCGAAAGCCUGACCCAGCAACGCCGCGUGAAGGAUGAAGUAUUUCGGUAUGUAAACUUCGUAAGAAUAGGAAGAAUAAAUGACGGUACUAUUUGUAAGGUCCGGCUAACUACGUGCCAGCAGCCGCGGUAAUACGUAGGGACCAAGCGUUGUUCGGAUUUACUGGGCGUAAAGGGCGCGUAGGCGGUGUGUCAAGUCAGUUGUGAAAUCUCCGAGCUUAACUCGGAACGGUCAACUGAUACUGUCACACUAGAGUACAGAAGGGGCAAUCGGAAUUCUUGGUGUAGCGGUGAAAUGCGUAGAUAUCAAGAGGAACACCUGAGGCGAAGGCGGGUUGCUGGGCUGAUACUGACGCUGAGGCGCGAAAGCUAGGGGUAG